UACGUAGGGUGCGAGCGUUAAUCGGAAUUACUGGGCGUAAAGGGUGCGCAGGCGGUUCUGCAGGUCAGGCGUGAAAGCCCCGGGCUUAACCUGGGAAUGGCGCUUGAAACUACAGGACUGGAGUAUGGCAGAGGGAGGUGGAAUUCCACGUGUAGCAGUGAAAUGCGUAGAGAUGUGGAGGAACACCGAUGGCGAAGGCAGCCCCCUGGGUCAACACUGACGCUCAUGCACGAAAGCGUGGGGAGCAAACAGG
Molecule: ribosomal RNA, 253 nt
Filed under: uncultured bacterium
Lineage: Bacteria
Description: partial 16S ribosomal RNA
Rfam family: Bacterial small subunit ribosomal RNA
Source: RNAcentral